CUUGAAGUUUUUUAAUUUAGUGAUAUAUGGGAGUGAAAUUAUUUUGUUCUCUUGUCAUAAACAGAGUUUGCAGGAAAGCUGGUGCAACUGUAAGAUGCUGAAAAGGAGACUAGAGAAAUAGCUUCUUAGUAGCAAUAUGAAUUUGUCUUUUUCUCUGAAUAGAGAAAUACUGCAGUUUUUUGGAUUUGGAGACGUUUUGGGUAAUGAAGUCUAGUCUUAGAUUUUUUUGAUAAUCCAUAAAUUAGAAGAUAUCUAAACUACUUCAAUCCUUUUAAAUGUAUUGAGAUUUGUUUUGUGGGCCAGCAUGUGGUCUUUCUUUGUAAAUUCCAUGUGCAUUUGAAAAGAAUGCAUAUUUUGCUAUUGUUGGUUGGAGUUUAGUAGAAAUUGUUAAUUAGGUUAAGUUGGUGGUUAGUGUGGGUCAACCUUCUGUGUCCUUUUUCUUGAUGUAAGGACAAGAAUAAUGACUUCCAAGCUCUUUAUAUGUCACAGAUGAAACAAGAAGUGUCAGGAAGUUAAGAUAAAAACCUGUAAAAUAAACUCAAAGAAGCACAAGGAAGGAAAUAAGAAAAAUGAGGGCAGAAAUUAAUGAAGCAGACGACAAGCUUUCUGAUACUGAAAAUCAGCAAAAGAAAAAAUAUUGGUUUGUUGAAAACUGAGAAACAUCUAACAGGACUAAUCAAGAUAAGAGAGAAUCGCAAGCAUAAGAAUAUCAAGGCUGAAAGGAGUGUGUCUCACUAGAGAUCUUCCAGGCGUUGAAACAAGCCUUUUCCUGGAACACAAGAGGAUGAGAAGAUUUCUCAACCAUUGCAAUUUUCCAGGAGCACAGGCUCAGGGAAAGUUCAACAUGGUCAUUUCCAAACUAGCACAUCAUGUCGCACCUCUACUGCUGGGUUCAGUCAGGGAAGAAGAACCAUGGUGAAGAUGAUGGAAAGAAGCCAUUCACUGUAGGAAUUAAACCUUACAAAACUGCUGGAGGUGGGGAAGUGAAAGUCUGGAAGGGAGUCAAGUCCGGGAGCUUGCAGGAAAAGCUGGGAAGCCGUGUGUGUCCAACCAGCAAUGUGGGCUCUGGAGCAGGAGCUAGUGGAAGCUAUUCCCUCUGCAUAACUUCCUCUCUGUAGAUCCACAGCCAAGAAUUUUCUGAGGAGUCCCAGGCUGCUACUGGACAUCAGGGCCAAAGAUUAGAAAGACCAGAUGGAUAGGGAGCUUUGAUCCAGUGUCCAUCACCAUAUGUGACUAUGGUGACCUUCUGAGAGUAAUAGCUGCUGUUUUACUUCUGACUUCCAAAUCUUAUACAAAUUCUCUUUUGACCAACUCUAACCUGGAUUGGAAAAGAAAGC
This is a long non-coding RNA of Equus quagga, 1337 nucleotides long. RefSeq lists it as uncharacterized. The record is from RefSeq and is a predicted model, not a curated record. The transcript has 3 exons. NCBI's taxonomy places the organism in Eukaryota, Metazoa, Chordata, Mammalia, Perissodactyla, Equidae.